This 494-nucleotide ribosomal RNA is filed under the name uncultured bacterium. RNAcentral describes it as "partial 16S ribosomal RNA". It matches the Rfam family "Bacterial small subunit ribosomal RNA", at positions 28 to 507 of the family's 1533-position model. The record is from RNAcentral.
GACGAACGCUGGCGGCGUGCUUAACACAUGCAAGUCGAACGGUGAAGCGCCUUCCUUUUUGGUGGGUGUGGAUGAGUGGCGAACGGGUGAGUAACACGUGAGUAACCUGCCCCCUUCUUCUGGAUAACCGCAUGAAAGUGUUGCUAAUACGGGAUAUUCUGGGUCUGUCGCAUGAUGGGUCUGGGAAAGAUAUUGUUUCGGUGGGGGAUGGGCUCGCGGCCUAUCAGCUUGUUGGUGGGGUGAUGGCCUACCAAGGCGGUGACGGGUAGCCGGCCUGAGAGGGUGGACGGUCACACUGGGACUGAGACACGGCCCAGACUCCUACGGGAGGCAGCAGUGGGGAAUAUUGCACAAUGGGCGCAAGCCUGAUGCAGCGACGCCGCGUGAGGGAUGGAGGCCUUCGGGUUGUGAACCUCUUUCGCCAGUGAAGCAGGCCUGCCUCGUUUGUGGGUGGGUUGACGGUAGCUGGAGAAGAAGCGCCGGCUAACUACGUG